UACGGGGGGGGCAAGCGUUGUUCGGAAUUACUGGGCGUAAAGGGCUCGUAGGCGGCCAACUAAGUCAGACGUGAAAUCCCUCGGCUUAACCGGGGAACUGCGUCUGAUACUGGAUGGCUUGAGAUUGGGAGAGGGGUGCGGAAUUCCAGGUGUAGCGGUGAAAUGCGUAGAUAUCUGGAGGAACACCGGUGGCGAAGGCGGCAUCCUGGACCAACACUGACGCUGAGGAGCGAAAGCCGGGGGAGCAAACGGG
Molecule: ribosomal RNA, 253 nt
Filed under: uncultured bacterium
Lineage: Bacteria
Description: partial 16S ribosomal RNA
Rfam family: Bacterial small subunit ribosomal RNA
Source: RNAcentral